RNAcentral lists this microRNA (22 nucleotides) under Panine betaherpesvirus 2 (Chimpanzee cytomegalovirus). RNAcentral describes it as "miR-US5-2-3p". The record is from RNAcentral. Lineage: Duplodnaviria; Heunggongvirae; Peploviricota; Herviviricetes; Herpesvirales; Orthoherpesviridae.
UAUGAUAGGCGUGACGAUGUCU